AGUAACGCGUGAGGAACCUGCCUUCCAGAGGGGGACAACAGUUGGAAACGACUGCUAAUACCGCAUGACACAUGACCGUGGCAUCACGGACAUGUCAAAGAUUUAUCGCUGGAAGAUGGCCUCGCGUCUAAUUAGCUGGUAGGCGGGGUAACGGCCCACCUAGGCGACGAUCAGUAGCCGGACUGAGAGGUUGGCCGGCCACAUUGGGACUGAGACACGGCCCAGACUCCUACGGGAGGCAGCAG
This 245-nucleotide ribosomal RNA is filed under the name uncultured bacterium. RNAcentral describes it as "partial 16S ribosomal RNA". It matches the Rfam family "Bacterial small subunit ribosomal RNA", at positions 109 to 354 of the family's 1533-position model. The record is from RNAcentral.